RNAcentral lists this ribosomal RNA (520 nucleotides) under uncultured eukaryote. RNAcentral's name for it is "SSU rRNA". It matches the Rfam family "Eukaryotic small subunit ribosomal RNA", at positions 22 to 548 of the family's 1831-position model. The record is from RNAcentral.
AGUCAUAUGCUUGUCUCAAAGACUAAGCCAUGCAUGUCUAAGUAUAAGUAUUAUACAGCGAAACUGCGAAUGGCUCAUUAAAACAGUUAUAGUUUAUUUGAUAAUCGAAUUUACAUGGAUAACCGUGGUAAUUCUAGAGCUAAUACAUGCUGGUGUGCCCGACUUUUCGGAAGGGCGGUAUUUAUUAGAUAACAAGCCAAUAUUCCUCUGGUCUAUUGUGGUGACUCAUAAUAACUGAUCGAAUCGCAAGGCCUUUGGCCGCGAUAAGUCAUUCAAGUUUCUGCCCCAUCAGCUUUCGAUGGUAGUGUAUUGGACUACCAUGGCGUUUACGGGUAACGGAGGAUUAGGGUUCGAUUCCGGAGAGGGAGCCUGAGAAACGGCUACCACAUCUAAGGAAGGCAGCAGGCGCGUAAAUUACCCAAUCCUGACUCAGGGAGGUAGUGACAAGAAAUAACGGACCGAGGCCUUCGGGCUUCGGGAUUGGAAUGAGCCGAAUUUACACCCCUUAGCGAAGAUCGAU